AACGAACGCUGGCGGCGCGCCUAAUACAUGCAAGUCGAGCGAGAAGACGUAGCAAUACGUUUGUAAAGCGGCGAACGGGUGAGGAAUACAUGGGUAACCUACCCUCGAGUGGGGAAUAACUAGCCGAAAGGUUAGCUAAUACCGCGUACGCUCCUUGGACUUCGGUUCAGGGAGGAAAGCGAUACCGUGGGUAUCGCGCUCUUGGAUGGGCUCAUGUCCUAUCAGCUUGUUGGUGAGGAACGGCUCACCAAGGCUUCGACGGGUAGCUGGUCUGAGAGGACGAUCAGCCACACUGGCACUGCGACACGGGCCAGACUCCUACGGGAGGCAGCAGUAAGGAAUAUUGGACAAUGGGCGCAAGCCUGAUCCAGCGAUGCCGCGUGUGUGAAGAAGGCCUGCGGGUUGUAAAGCACUUUCAGUAGGGAAGAAAGCCGAGUGCUAAUAUCACUCGGUCUUGACGUUACUUACAGAAGAAGCACCGGCUAACUCCGUGCCA
This 496-nucleotide ribosomal RNA is filed under the name uncultured bacterium. Its description in RNAcentral is "bacterial SSU rRNA". It matches the Rfam family "Bacterial small subunit ribosomal RNA", at positions 29 to 510 of the family's 1533-position model. The record is from RNAcentral.